CGGGGGAGGCCGGAUCCUGGGCUGUGUCCCGGCGCCCUGUGCCCCGGGGCCUGUGGGGCUGGAUUCGCGCUCCCGCCCCGCAGCCCCCU
RNAcentral lists this microRNA precursor (89 nucleotides) under Canis lupus dingo (dingo). Its description in RNAcentral is "mir-8799 microRNA precursor family". It matches the Rfam family "mir-8799 microRNA precursor family". Lineage: Eukaryota; Metazoa; Chordata; Mammalia; Carnivora; Canidae. The record is from Rfam by way of RNAcentral.